UACGAAGGGGGCUAGCGUUGCUCGGAAUCACUGGGCGUAAAGCGCACGUAGGCGGACUCUUAAGACAGGGGUGAAAUCCUGGAGCUCAACUCCAGAACUGCCUUUGAUACUGGGAGUCUUGAGUUCGGGAGAGGUGAGUGGAACUGCGAGUGUAGAGGUGAAAUUCGUAGAUAUUCGCAAGAACACCAGUGGCGAAGGCGGCUCACUGGCCCGAUACUGACGCUGAGGUGCGAAAGCGUGGGGAGCAAACAGG
RNAcentral lists this ribosomal RNA (253 nucleotides) under uncultured bacterium. Its description in RNAcentral is "partial 16S ribosomal RNA". It matches the Rfam family "Bacterial small subunit ribosomal RNA", at positions 524 to 776 of the family's 1533-position model. The record is from RNAcentral.